UUCAAGUUCGCAGCCUAACUUAUUAGGCUGACGGCUGGUGAUUAUUUAAUCACCAGCCU
This 59-nucleotide small RNA is filed under the name Providencia rustigianii. RNAcentral's name for it is "Pseudomonas sRNA P26". It matches the Rfam family "Pseudomonas sRNA P26". From Rfam's summary of the family: P26 is conserved across many Gammaproteobacteria species and appears to be consistently located between the DNA directed RNA polymerase (beta subunit) and 50S ribosomal protein L7/L12 genes. The record is from RNAcentral. Lineage: Bacteria; Pseudomonadati; Pseudomonadota; Gammaproteobacteria; Enterobacterales; Morganellaceae.